GUCCUACGGGCCGCAGCAGUGAGGAAUAUUGGUCAAUGGUCGCGAGCCUGAACCAGCCAAGCCGCGUGAGGGAUGAAGGUACAGAGUAUCGUAAACCUCUUUUGUCAGGGAACAAAGGCGGGGACGUGUCCCCGGAUGAGUGUACCUGAAGAAAAAGCAUCGGCUAACUCCGUGCCAGCAGCCGCGGUAAUACGGAGGAUGCGAGCGUUAUCCGGAUUUAUUGGGUUUAAAGGGUGCGCAGGUGGGCUGUUAAGUCAGUGGUCAAAGCUCGGGGCUCAACCCCGG
Molecule: ribosomal RNA, 285 nt
Filed under: uncultured bacterium
Lineage: Bacteria
Description: partial 16S ribosomal RNA
Rfam family: Bacterial small subunit ribosomal RNA
Source: RNAcentral